UACGUAGGGGGCAAGCGUUGUCCGGAUUUAUUGGGCGUAAAGAGCGUGUAGGCGGUUCGGUAGGUCCGUUGUGAAAACUCGAGGCUCAACCUCGAGACGCCGAUGGAAACCCCCGAACUAGAGUCCGGAAGAGGAGAAUGGAAUUCCUGGUGUAGCGGUGAAAUGCGCAGAUAUCAGGAAGAACACCCGUGGCUAAGGCGGUUCUCUAGUACGGUACUGACGCUGAGACGCGAAAGCGUGGGGAGCGAACAGG
Molecule: ribosomal RNA, 253 nt
Filed under: uncultured bacterium
Lineage: Bacteria
Description: partial 16S ribosomal RNA
Rfam family: Bacterial small subunit ribosomal RNA
Source: RNAcentral